GGGAAUGUAGCUCAGUGACAGAGCAUGUGCUUAGCAUGUACAGGGCCCUGGGUUCAAUACACAGCACCA
Molecule: transfer RNA, 69 nt
Filed under: Fukomys damarensis (Damara mole-rat)
Lineage: Eukaryota; Metazoa; Chordata; Mammalia; Rodentia; Bathyergidae
Rfam family: tRNA
About the family: Transfer RNA (tRNA) molecules are approximately 80 nucleotides in length.
Source: Rfam by way of RNAcentral